AGUCAAACACUGACUCGAACAUUGAGCUUCCAGUAGCUGCAGCGGCCACUGCAACUGCUGCAGCUGUAGUAAGCAACCACUGCGUCUGUCAGCAAACAGUAUGAGCAAGGCAGUCAAAGUGACGGACACAUGGAUGGCACUGGUUAUAUAUAGUAAGCAAUGACAGUACAAAAUCUGAUUUUACAUUAGAUGAUGUUGCCGAGUAUGACAUUCCGUUGGAGGAAAUCACACUGGGUGAACGUAUGGGACUUGGUAUUAACUGUACUUUGCUCUAUAAGAUUUGGUUACAUUCUUUUGUUAGAUGGUGUUAUUUAUAAUUUUAUACAUAUAAAUUCCCAUAUGAUGACUAAAAUUACAUUUUGCUGGCCUAUUUUUUGCAUUCAGGAUCGUAUGGGGAGGUAUACCGUGGUGAAUGGCGUGGAACAGAAGUUGCUGUAAAAAGAUUUCUUGAUCAAGCUAUAUCUGGUGGAAUCACUUGAAGAAUUCAAAAGUGAGGUUCAAAUAAUGAAAAGACUGAGGCAUCCAAAUGUUGUUCUCUUCAUGGGAGCAGUUACUCGACCCCCGAAUCUUUCUAUUGUUACUGAGUUUCUUCCCAGAGGAAGUUUGUACAGACUAAUUCAUCGACCAAACAAUCAAUUAGAUGAGCGAAGGCGGUUGAGGAUGGCCCUUGAUACUG
Arachis duranensis is the source of this 676-nucleotide long non-coding RNA. RefSeq lists it as uncharacterized. The transcript is spliced from 4 exons. The record is from RefSeq and is a predicted model, not a curated record. NCBI's taxonomy places the organism in Eukaryota, Viridiplantae, Streptophyta, Magnoliopsida, Fabales, Fabaceae.